Transfer RNA from Neocallimastix californiae, 72 nucleotides. It matches the Rfam family "tRNA". Rfam says of the family: Transfer RNA (tRNA) molecules are approximately 80 nucleotides in length. Their secondary structure includes four short double-helical elements and three loops (D, anti-codon, and T loops). Further hydrogen bonds mediate the characteristic L-shaped molecular structure. tRNAs have two regions of fundamental functional importance: the anti-codon, which is responsible for specific mRNA codon recognition, and the 3' end, to which the tRNAs corresponding amino acid is attached (by aminoacyl-tRNA synthetases). tRNAs cope with the degeneracy of the genetic code in two manners: having more than one tRNA (with a specific anti-codon) for a particular amino acid; and 'wobble' base-pairing, i.e. permitting non-standard base-pairing at the 3rd anti-codon position. The record is from Rfam. Lineage: Eukaryota; Fungi; Neocallimastigomycota; Neocallimastigomycetes; Neocallimastigales; Neocallimastigaceae.
AGCAGCGUAGCGUAGUGGAAGCGUGGUGGGCUCAUAACCCACAGGUCGUAUGAUCGAAACAUACCGCUGCUA